AGGAGCAGCAGCAGCAGCUUGGUAAAGAGGCUUCCACUUUAAAAAUAAAGUCCUGUUGAAGUUUGUUAGUACCUUGCCUGGUUGAUUCAAAAUUUUGCUGAUGAGGAUAGAUCUUCUGCCUCUGAACCCACCUGCACCCUUUCUGCAAAGCCCAGGUACGUCCCUGCAACAUCUAGCUACAACAGAAGACUCAGCUACAGGUGAAGUUUCAGCCUACAAGUCAUUUCUUUAAAUAAUGGUGUGACUGAUCGCCUAAGUGUCAUUGUAUUGGUUCGGUUCCCUGACUGGAUGACUGCACUUUUUAAUCAGAAGAUUAAUGAAUAGUGAAUAACCAAUACUGUUGUGCAUUCAUGAAUACCCUUGUUCCCGUGACUACAAGUAUUUGUAUGAAAAUCAGCCAUUUCUCCAAUAUCCAUAGGAACAAAACCUCAUUGAAUGACAAACAGAAAUGAGCACAAAGUUGAUGGCAGCAAACAACUAUUCUGAAAUCAUAUGGAAGUUCAUGAACUUGGUUUUAUCAUUCAUGCCUAACCCUAUGACUAAACACAGCAUCUUAGGAUGGAGCUGUCUCUUUAUAUGUGUUUCUACAGAGCCCUCCAUAAUAGAACCUUUCAUCAUAGGUGCUUUAGGUGCUAUGAUAAUAAUAUCUAUUGUUUAACAUGUUUUUUCUGCUUAUCAGUUCUGAAUUUAACCAGCCUCAUAACCCAACUGAGGAGUAAUAUCUGUAUAGUUAAAGUGGAAUUGGAGUGUACAACUUUUAGGGAGGCAGAGUGGUGCUGUGUACAGGGCUUAUGACUAGGAAUCAGAAGAAUGUGUUCUAUUUUUAGCUCUGUCCCAAAAUUACUAG
Mauremys reevesii (Reeves's turtle) is the source of this 847-nucleotide long non-coding RNA. RefSeq lists it as uncharacterized. The transcript is spliced from 3 exons. Lineage: Eukaryota; Metazoa; Chordata; Testudines; Geoemydidae. The record is from RefSeq and is a predicted model, not a curated record.